UCAGAGGUUUACCGACAAGUCACAGAAUCCCAGAAUGGAAAUGUCUUGCUGGAGAGAGUGUUUGGAGCCAUCCGUCCACUGAGCCCCUGCUCUGAGGUGACCCUGAAAUGCCCCCUGCAGAUCCUGCUGCAGGUUGUGGGGUGUGUGUCUCCCAUGAACAGCUGUGAGCAAAUUUGCCUUCACCCACCACUUCCUCUGACGACUUUCCCAGCAGAUCUUGAACUUAUGGGAAUAAUUUAUAAACCUGAUGUACACAAUAAACCAAAUGAAUGAUA
This is a long non-coding RNA of Empidonax traillii (willow flycatcher), 275 nucleotides long. RefSeq lists it as uncharacterized. The transcript has 2 exons. The record is from RefSeq and is a predicted model, not a curated record. Lineage: Eukaryota; Metazoa; Chordata; Aves; Passeriformes; Tyrannidae.